This 253-nucleotide ribosomal RNA is filed under the name uncultured bacterium. RNAcentral describes it as "partial 16S ribosomal RNA". It matches the Rfam family "Bacterial small subunit ribosomal RNA", at positions 524 to 776 of the family's 1533-position model. The record is from RNAcentral.
UACAUGGGGUGCAAACGUUGCUCGGAAUUAUUGGGCGUAAAGGGUGCGUAGGCGGCGCGGUAAGUCGGGUGUGAAAUCUCGGAGCUUAACUCCGAAACUGCAUUCGAUACUGCCGUGCUUGAGGACUGGAGAGGAGACUGGAAUUUACGGUGUAGCGGUGAAAUGCGUAGAUAUCGUAAGGAAGACCAGUGGCGAAGGCGGGUCUCUGGACAGUUCCUGACGCUGAGGCACGAAGGUCAGGGGAGCAAACGGG